RNAcentral lists this ribosomal RNA (613 nucleotides) under Aschersonia sp. JP-2006a. RNAcentral's name for it is "eukaryotic LSU rRNA". It matches the Rfam family "Eukaryotic large subunit ribosomal RNA", at positions 38 to 667 of the family's 3401-position model. Lineage: Eukaryota; Fungi; Ascomycota; Sordariomycetes; Hypocreales; Clavicipitaceae. The record is from RNAcentral.
GCAUAUCAAUAAGCGGAGGAAAGAAACCAACAGGGAUUGCCCCAGUAACGGCGAGUGAAGCGGCAACAGCUCAAAUUUGAAAUCUGGCCCCCCCCGGGGGGCCCGAGUUGUAAUUUGCAGAGGAUGCUUUGGGCGAGGCGCCUUCCGAGUUCCCUGGAACGGGACGCCACAGAGGGUGAGAGCCCCGUCUGGUCGGACGCCGAGCCUCUGUAAAGCUCCUUCGACGAGUCGAGUAGUUUGGGAAUGCUGCUCAAAAUGGGAGGUAUAUGUCUUCUAAAGCUAAAUACCGGCCAGAGACCGAUAGCGCACAAGUAGAGUGAUCGAAAGAUGAAAAGCACCUUGAAAAGGGGGUUAAACAGUACGUGAAAUUGUUGAAAGGGAAGCGCUCGUGACCAGACUUGGGGCGGGCGGAUCAGCCGGCGUUCUCGCCGGCGCACUCCGCCCGUCCCAGGCCAGCAUCAGUUCGCGCCGGGGGACAAAGGCGGCGGGAACGUGGCUCCCCAGGGAGUGUUAUAGCCCGCCGCGCCAUGCCCCGGGGGCGGACUGAGGGCCGCGCAUCACUGCAAGGAUGCUGGCGUAAUGGUCACCAGCGACCCGUCUUGAAACACGGACC